CCCUUGGAUGUCCUGGGCCGCACGCGCGUUACACUGAUGCAUUCAACGAGCUUAUAACCUUGGCCGAGAGGCCUGGGCAAUCUUGUUAACGUGCAUCGUGAUAGGGAUAGAUUAUUGAAAUUAUUAAUCUUGAACGAGGAAUUCCUAGUAAACGCAGAUCAUCAAUCUGCAUUGAUUACGUCCCUGCCCUUUGUACACACCGCCCGUCGCACCUACCGAUUGGAUGGUCCGGUGAAGCCUCGGGAUUGUGGUUCUUGCCGCUUUAUUGUGGCGUGACCGCGAGAACUUGUCUAAACCUUAUCAUCUAGAGGAAGGUGAAGUCGUAACA
RNAcentral lists this ribosomal RNA (328 nucleotides) under uncultured eukaryote. RNAcentral describes it as "partial 18S ribosomal RNA". It matches the Rfam family "Eukaryotic small subunit ribosomal RNA", at positions 1470 to 1796 of the family's 1831-position model. The record is from RNAcentral.